Molecule: ribosomal RNA, 252 nt
Filed under: uncultured prokaryote
Description: partial 16S rRNA
Rfam family: Archaeal small subunit ribosomal RNA
Source: RNAcentral
ACCGGCAGCUCAAGUGGUGGCCAUUUUUAUUGGGCCUAAAGCGUUCGUAGCCGGUUUGAUAAGUCUCUGGUGAAAUCCCGCAGCUUAACUGUGGGACUUGCUGGAGAUACUAUUAGACUUGAGGUCGGGAGAGGUUAGGGGUACUCCCAGGGUAGGGGGAAAAGCCUGUAAUCGUGGGAGGACCACCUGUGGCGAAGGCGUCGAACUGGAACGGAUUUGACGGUGAGGCACGAAAUCAAGGAGCGCGCACCG